GGGCAGGUGAAGCUCGUUAGCGAGAGCAGUUCACCUAGGAGAAGGAAAACUCUGACCACAAACACGGGCAGGUGGAGCUCGUUAGCCGUGGUAGGCAAUCUGCCUAGGAGAGCAAACUCCGAACAAAAACCCGGGCAGGUUGGGCUCGUGAGCCGUCAUAGGCAAUACACCUAGGAGAGCAAACUCCGAACAAAAACCCGGGCAGGUUGGGCUCGUGAGCCGUCAUAGGCAAUACACCUAGGAGAGCAAACUCCGAAUUAAAACCCGGGCAGGUGGAGGUCGUUAGCCGUGGUAGGCAGUCUGCCUAGGAGAGGGACAACUCCGAACAACAAACCCGGGCAGGUGGAGGUCGUUAGCCGUGGUAGGCAGUCUGCCUAGGAGAGGGACAACUCCGAACAACAAACCCGGGCAGGUGGAGGUCGUUAGCCGUGGUAGGCAGUCUGCCUAGGAGAGGGACAACUCCGAACAAAAAACACGGGCAGGUGGAGCUCGUUAGCGUGAGCAGUUCACCUAGGAGAGCAAACUCCGAUUACAAACCCGGGCAGGUGGAGCUCGUUAGCGUGAGCAGUUCACCUAGGAGAGCAAACUCCGAUUACAAACCCGGGCAGGUGGAGCUCGUUAGCGUAAGCAGUUCACCUAGGAGAGCAAACUCCGAUUACAAACCCGGGCAGGUGGAGCUCGUUAGCGUAAGCAGUUCACCUAGGAGAGCAAACUCCGAUUACAAACCCGGGUAGGUGGAGCUCGUUAGCGUAAGCAGUUCACCUAGGAGAGCAAACUCCGAUUACAAACCCGGGCAGGUGGAGCUCGUUAGCGUGAGCAGUUCACCUAGGAGAGCAAACUCCGAUCACAAACCCGGCCAGGUGGAGGUCGUUAGCCGUGGUAGGCAAUCUGCCUAGGAGAGGGACAACUCCGAACAAUAAACACGGGCAGGUUGGGCUCGUGAGCCGUCAUAGGCAAUACACCUAGGAGAGCAAACUCUGAAUAAAAACCCGGGCAGGUUGGGCUCGUGAGCCGUCAUAGGCAAUACACCUAGGAGAGCAAACUCCGAUUACAAACCCGGGCAGGUUGGGCUCGUGAGCCGUCAUAGGCAAUACACCUAGGAGAGCAAACUCCGAUUACAAACCCGGGCAGGUUGGGCUCGUGAGCCGUCAUAGGCAAUACACCUAGGAGAGCAAACUCUGAAUAAAAACCCGGACAGGUUGGGCUCGUGAGCCGUCAUAGGCAAUACACCUAGGAGAGCAAACUCCGAAUAAAAACCCGGGCAGGUGGAGGUCGUUAGCCGUGGUAGGCAGUCUGCCUAGGAGAGCAAACUCCGAACAACAAACCCGGGCAGGUGGAGGUCGUUAGCCGUGGUAGGCAAUCUGCCUAGGAGAAGGACAACUCCGAACAACAAACACGGGCAGGAGGGGGUCGUUAGCCGUGGUAGGCAGUCCUCCUAGGAGAAGGAAAACUCCGAAUUCAAACCAACACACACACACACACACACACCAGCCGGGCAGGUGGGGCUCGUUAUAGGCGUCGUAGACAAUCCACCAAGGGGAAUCAACAAUAAAAGGAUAAUAAAAGCGAACACACGAGAAGAAGAAUAUGAAAUCAGAACCGGACAAAAAAGGAUAAUAUAAGAUGGAACACCGAAUAAAGGAUAGUUAAGAACACAACAUCGAGAAAAGCAUAAGACACACGCGGAUCAUCCAGACUGAAACAGAAGACCAAAAAAUGGAUGGUAUAAAAAGAACGGAAAAAAGAUAACGUAAUAAGAACGCACAGAAAAUAACGUAGAAAUAAAACACCAAGAAAAGGAAAAUAAGGAAAAUACAGAAACAACAUCAUUGAUACCGCCGCUCCGUGGGCGGUAGGAGAAUGAAAUGACCCUUUUCGUAGACGCACAGUAUAAUGUGGUCCAAGCUGUCAACAAUAACAUUUACCGCCAGGACCACAAUCACGACGCUCGAAAACGCCCGCGUCUCUGAGCACUAAGCCGGGCAGCUGAACACUUCACUUAGCACCUAACGUUCAGCAUUGUAUUUCACUUACUAU
This is a long non-coding RNA of Eriocheir sinensis (Chinese mitten crab), 2037 nucleotides long. RefSeq lists it as uncharacterized. The transcript has 3 exons. Lineage: Eukaryota; Metazoa; Arthropoda; Malacostraca; Decapoda; Varunidae. The record is from RefSeq and is a predicted model, not a curated record.